This 75-nucleotide transfer RNA is filed under the name Blastocatellia bacterium. RNAcentral's name for it is "tRNA-Glu". It matches the Rfam family "tRNA". From Rfam's summary of the family: Transfer RNA (tRNA) molecules are approximately 80 nucleotides in length. Lineage: Bacteria; Pseudomonadati; Acidobacteriota; Blastocatellia. The record is from RNAcentral.
GGCGCGUUAGUGAAGGGGUAAUCACGCAGCCCUCUCAAGGCUGAAUCACGGGUUCAAAUCCCGUACGCGCUACCA